This 1378-nucleotide long non-coding RNA is filed under the name Cricetulus griseus (Chinese hamster). Its description in RNAcentral is "lncRNA (ENSCGRG00000026219.1)". Lineage: Eukaryota; Metazoa; Chordata; Mammalia; Rodentia; Cricetidae. The record is from RNAcentral.
AUCCCACCCUUGGCUUCCCUCUUCCCUUCCAUCACCCUCUCUGUGUCUCUCAGGUCUUGUGGAGAAGGCUCCAUGUUCCAUGAACUCUUCUCGAGUCUGUGAGUGUCAACCUGGCACUUACUGCAAAACGCCAGGUGUCAAUUCUUGUGCCCGCUGUUCUCUACACUCCCGCUGUUCUGGAGGCGAGGUCGUCAAGGUCCCAGGCACAGCAGAGAAGGACACCGUCUGUGAACUGCCUUCCUCAGGACCUGGCCCUGAUUGCUCCAAUCCAGAUGACUGCAAGACACUUACUAGCCAUGCCACUCCUCAGGCCACACCUACUUUGAAGACCUCAGCCACUGACAGUAUGAGGAGCUUGACAACGACAGGGAGCACCGGCCUUGUGCAGGAAGAUGCUACUGAGCUGUUGAAGGUCCCAGAGUUUCCCUCUUCCCAGGCAAGGGAGCCCAGUCCAGACCCAGAUAAGGCAGAGAUGAAUAUGAACUUGAAACUGCCAUCUCCAGGGACUCUUCCUGACUUCAGCACCUCAGGAAACAGUGAGGAGCCUGCCAGUACCGCCUCCACCCUGAGCCUCCUGGUAGAUGUGCAGACCAGCAGCAGGAUGCAGCCCACCUCUCCCUUGUCCACAGGAACACCAUUUCUGGAUCCAGGGCCCAUGCUCUUCUGGGUGGCCAUGGUGAUUCUGCUGCUUGGCUCCAGCACCUUCUUCCUGUGUUACUGGAAGGCCUGCAGGAGGCGGAUCCAGCAGAAGCUCCACCUGGAAAACCUAGCCCAGACCUUCCAGCCGAAGAUGGAGCAGGUGGGUGAGUAUCUGGUAGUGCAAAGGGCAGCCUGGACAGGUGGGUGACCAUCAUAGGCUGGGGCUGGGUAGACUCACACCAAAACACUGUCCACCAAGGGGGUUUUGAGUUGGAGAUGUUUCUUAAGUACGCGCUCGUACCUCCAAAGAGCUCCCCAGCGGAGGGGGUUUUUGUAUUUUGAUGGUUUCAAGCUUCUUUCCAUGAGCUGCCAGGCAGGGCUUAUUGAAACCAGUGUUUGCUUUCUUGACAUUUCUCUAGUAUUAGAGUUUCCAUUGCCGUCAGUUAAUUUUUUUUUUCUCUCCAAACAUUCGUGAGAACAGUUUUGUUAUAACAAGAAAGACAGAAAAAAAAAAAGAUUAAAAAAACAAAACAAAAAAACACCUGAAGAAGCUGGGCUUACAGGUAACUGAGUGAGUCUGGGGUCAAUGAUUGUGUCUGAGCCUGGUUCUGGACCUCUGGCUUCCAGUGGGUCCCUUGAUGUCUGGGUUUCAAGGACUGAAAUGAGAGAAGGUUUAAAUCAGGGUGAGCACACAGGGACCAGGUGACCAUAUCCUAGGCAAGGUUGGGCAUGGCCUAGG